RNAcentral lists this unclassified non-coding RNA (231 nucleotides) under uncultured fungus. Its description in RNAcentral is "sequence contains ITS1, 5.8S rRNA gene". The stretch from base 183 to 231 matches the Rfam family "5.8S ribosomal RNA", at positions 1 to 49 of the family's 154-position model. The record is from RNAcentral. Lineage: Eukaryota; Fungi.
UCUCCGUAGGUGAACCUGCGGAGGGAUCAUUACCGAGUGAGGGCGCCCCGGCGCCCGACCUCCCAACCCUUUGUCGAACUUACCUUGUUGCCUCGGGGCGCGCCCUUCGCGGGCGGCCCCAGAGGACCAACCAUCAAAACCCUGCGUCGCAUGCGUCGGUUUGAAUUGAUUGAAUAUCAAAAAACUUUCAACAACGGAUCUCUUGGUUCUGGCAUCGAUGAAGAACGCAGC